AUUACUUUGGCAGAAUAGUGCUUUAAAUUUAGAAUUUAAUUAUGUAUAAUAGUAAAUACAGGUAAUA
Molecule: transfer RNA, 67 nt
Filed under: Onthophagus falculatus
Lineage: Eukaryota; Metazoa; Arthropoda; Insecta; Coleoptera; Scarabaeidae
Description: tRNA-Leu
Source: RNAcentral